This 22-nucleotide transfer RNA is filed under the name Gymnorhina tibicen (Australian magpie). RNAcentral's name for it is "partial tRNA-Glu". Lineage: Eukaryota; Metazoa; Chordata; Aves; Passeriformes; Artamidae. The record is from RNAcentral.
AUUAAACUUUAACUACAGGAAC